CCCUUAGAUGUUCUGGGCCGCACACGCGCUACACUGAAGGAGGCAGCGUGUACUCCUGGAUCGAAAGAUUUGGGUAACCCGCGAAUCUCCUUCGUGCUAGGGAUUGAGGUUUGCAAUUAUCCUUCAUGAACGAGGAAUUCCCAGUAAGUGCAAGUCAUAAGCUUGCGCUGACUACGUCCCUGCCCUUUGUACACACCGCCCGUCGCUACUACCGAUUGAAUGAUUUAGUGAGGACUUCGGACUGGGACCAAUGCGGCUUUCGGGCUGCGUCGGUAUUCUGGAAAGAUGUCCAAACUGUAUCAUUUAGAGGAAGUAAAAGUCGUAACA
Molecule: ribosomal RNA, 327 nt
Filed under: uncultured eukaryote
Lineage: Eukaryota
Description: partial 18S ribosomal RNA
Rfam family: Eukaryotic small subunit ribosomal RNA
Source: RNAcentral